GUGGGGAAUAUUGGACAAUGGGCGAAAGCCUGAUCCAGCCAUGCCGCGUGUGUGAAGAAGGUCUUCGGAUUGUAAAGCACUUUAAGUUGGGAGGAAGGGCAGUAAGUUAAUACCUUGCUGUUUUGACGUUACCAACAGAAUAAGCACCGGCUAACUUCGUGCCAGCAGCCGCGGUAAUACGAAGGGUGCAAGCGUUAAUCGGAAUUACUGGGCGUAAAGCGCGCGUAGGUGGUUUUGUAAGUUGGAAGUGAAAUCCCCUGGCUCAACCUGGGAACUGCCUCCAAAACUGCAUGACUAGAGUACGGUAGAGGGUAGUGGAAUUUCCUGUGUAGCGGUGAAAUGCGUAGAUAUAGGAAGGAACACCAGUGGCGAAGGCGACUACCUGGACUGAUACUGCCACUGAGGUGCGAAAGCGUGGGGAGCAAACAGGAUUAGAUACCCGUGUAGUCC
This 450-nucleotide ribosomal RNA is filed under the name uncultured bacterium. RNAcentral describes it as "partial 16S ribosomal RNA". It matches the Rfam family "Bacterial small subunit ribosomal RNA", at positions 354 to 796 of the family's 1533-position model. The record is from RNAcentral.